Molecule: ribosomal RNA, 206 nt
Filed under: uncultured Desulfocapsa sp.
Lineage: Bacteria; Pseudomonadati; Thermodesulfobacteriota; Desulfobulbia; Desulfobulbales; Desulfocapsaceae
Description: partial 16S ribosomal RNA
Rfam family: Bacterial small subunit ribosomal RNA
Source: RNAcentral
UGACGUCAAGUCCUCAUGGCCUUUAUGACCAGGGCUACACACGUACUACAAUGGCCGGUACAAAGGGCAGCGACACAGCGAUGUGAAAGCGAAUCCCGAAAAGCCGGUCUCAGUCCGGGAUUGGAGUCUGCAACUCGACUCCAUGAAGUUGGAAUCGCUAGUAAUCGCGGAUCAGCACGCCGCGGUGAAUACGGUUCCCGGGCCUU